CUUUGAGAUUCUUCUGUUGAAGCAAAUUAUCCUGUCCGUUUUAGCAAAACGGCAUGUUUAAUUUUCCCAACUCAUGAUUGUGUGUUUGGUUUAGGGUUUUUUUUAUUGCAAACAUAAAUUAGUUUGAAUCAUCUGCGAACCCUCAAUUACCAGAAGAAAAAAACACUACUUUCACCAAAAAUGGAACUCUGGGAUUUACG
Molecule: long non-coding RNA, 200 nt
Filed under: Gossypium raimondii (Peruvian cotton)
Lineage: Eukaryota; Viridiplantae; Streptophyta; Magnoliopsida; Malvales; Malvaceae
Description: long non-coding RNA (GRAI_LNC001644)
Source: RNAcentral